This 343-nucleotide unclassified non-coding RNA is filed under the name soil metagenome. RNAcentral's name for it is "partial contains 5.8S ribosomal RNA, internal transcribed spacer 2, and large subunit ribosomal RNA". The stretch from base 1 to 120 matches the Rfam family "5.8S ribosomal RNA", at positions 35 to 154 of the family's 154-position model. The record is from RNAcentral.
GAUGAAGAACGUAGCGAAAUGCGAUAAGUAAUGUGAAUUGCAGAAUUCAGUGAAUCAUCGAAUCUUUGAACGCACAUUGCGCCCGCUAGUAUUCUGGCGGGCAUGCCUGUCCGAGCGUCAUUUCAACCCUCAAGCCCCCGGGCUUGGUGUUGGGGAUCGGCGAGCCUCCGCGCCCGCCGUCCCCUAAAUCUAGUGGCGGUCUCGCUGUAACUUCCUCUGCGUAGUAGCACACCUCGCACUGGGAAACAGCGCGGCCACGCCGUUAAACCCCCAACUUCUGAACGUUUGACCUCGGAUCAGGUAGGAAUACCCGCUGAACUUAAGCAUAUCAAUAAGCGGAGGA